GACGAACGCUGGCGGCGUGCUUAACACAUGCAAGUCGAACGGAAAGGCCCUGCUUGCAGGGUACUCGAGUGGCGAACGGGUGAGUAACACGUGGGUGAUCUGCCCUGCACUUCGGGAUAAGCCUGGGAAACUGGGUCUAAUACCGGAUAGGAGCCAUUUUUAGUGUGAUGGUUGGAAAGUUUUUUCGGUGUAGGAUGAGCUCGCGGCCUAUCAGCUUGCUGGUGGGGUAAUGGCCUACCAAGGCGGCGGCGGGUAGCCGGCCUGGGGGGGUGGACGGCCACAUUGGGACUGAGGUAAGGCCCAGACUCCGACGGGAGGCAGCAGUGGGGAAUAUUGCACAAUGGGCGCAAGCCUGAUGCAGCGACGCCGCGUGGGGGAUGACGGCCUUCGGGUUGUAAACUCCUUUCGCUAGGGACGGAGCUUUUUGUGACGGUACCUAGAGAAGAAGCACCGGCUAACUACGUG
RNAcentral lists this ribosomal RNA (465 nucleotides) under uncultured bacterium. Its description in RNAcentral is "partial 16S ribosomal RNA". It matches the Rfam family "Bacterial small subunit ribosomal RNA", at positions 28 to 507 of the family's 1533-position model. The record is from RNAcentral.